This 2230-nucleotide ribosomal RNA is filed under the name Escherichia coli. RNAcentral describes it as "partial 23S ribosomal RNA". It matches the Rfam family "Bacterial large subunit ribosomal RNA", at positions 1 to 2247 of the family's 2925-position model. Lineage: Bacteria; Pseudomonadati; Pseudomonadota; Gammaproteobacteria; Enterobacterales; Enterobacteriaceae. The record is from RNAcentral.
GGGUUGUGAGGUUAAGCGACUAAGCGUACACGGUGGAUGCCCUGGCAGUCAGAGGCGAUGAAGGACGUGCUAAUCUGCGAUAAGCGUCGGUGAGGUGAUAUGAACCGUUAUAACCGGCGAUUUCCGAAUGGGGAAACCCAGUGUGUUUCGACACACUAUCAUUAACUGAAUCCAUAGGUUAAUGAGGCGAACCGGGGGAACUGAAACAUCUAAGUACCCCGAGGAAAAGAAAUCAACCGAGAUUCCCCCAGUAGCGGCGAGCGAACGGGGAGGAGCCCAGAGCCUGAAUCAGUGUGUGUGUUAGUGGAAGCGUCUGGAAAGGCGUGCGAUACAGGGUGACAGCCCCGUACACAAAAAUGCACAUAUUGUGAGCUCGAUGAGUAGGGCGGGACACGUGGUAUCCUGUCUGAAUAUGGGGGGACCAUCCUCCAAGGCUAAAUACUCCUGACUGACCGAUAGUGAACCAGUACCGUGAGGGAAAGGCGAAAAGAACCCCGGCGAGGGGAGUGAAAAAGAACCUGAAACCGUGUACGUACAAGCAGUGGGAGCCUCUUAAUGGGGUGACUGCGUACCUUUUGUAUAAUGGGUCAGCGACUUAUAUUCUGUAGCAAGGUUAACCGAAUAGGGGAGCCGAAGGGAAACCGAGUCUUAACUGGGCGUUAAGUUGCAGGGUAUAGACCCGAAACCCGGUGAUCUAGCCAUGGGCAGGUUGAAGGUUGGGUAACACUAACUGGAGGACCGAACCGACUAAUGUUGAAAAAUUAGCGGAUGACUUGUGGCUGGGGGUGAAAGGCCAAUCAAACCGGGAGAUAGCUGGUUCUCCCCGAAAGCUAUUUAGGUAGCGCCUCGUGAAUUCAUCUCCGGGGGUAGAGCACUGUUUCGGCAAGGGGGUCAUCCCGACUUACCAACCCGAUGCAAACUGCGAAUACCGGAGAAUGUUAUCACGGGAGACACACGGCGGGUGCUAACGUCCGUCGUGAAGAGGGAAACAACCCAGACCGCCAGCUAAGGUCCCAAAGUCAUGGUUAAGUGGGAAACGAUGUGGGAAGGCCCAGACAGCCAGGAUGUUGGCUUAGAAGCAGCCAUCAUUUAAAGAAAGCGUAAUAGCUCACUGGUCGAGUCGGCCUGCGCGGAAGAUGUAACGGGGCUAAACCAUGCACCGAAGCUGCGGCAGCGACACUAUGUGUUGUUGGGUAGGGGAGCGUUCUGUAAGCCUGUGAAGGUGGCCUGUGAGGGUUGCUGGAGGUAUCAGAAGUGCGAAUGCUGACAUAAGUAACGAUAAAGCGGGUGAAAAGCCCGCUCGCCGGAAGACCAAGGGUUCCUGUCCAACGUUAAUCGGGGCAGGGUGAGUCGACCCCUAAGGCGAGGCCGAAAGGCGUAGUCGAUGGGAAACAGGUUAAUAUUCCUGUACUUGGUGUUACUGCGAAGGGGGGACGGAGAAGGCUAUGUUGGCCGGGCGACGGUUGUCCCGGUUUAAGCGUGUAGGCUGGUUUUCCAGGCAAAUCCGGAAAACCAAGGCUGAGGCGUGAUGACGAGGCACUACGGUGCUGAAGCGACAAAUGCCCUGCUUCCAGGAAAAGCCUCUAAGCAUCAGGUAACAUCAAAUCGUACCCCAAACCGACACAGGUGGUCAGGUAGAGAAUACCAAGGCGCUUGAGAGAACUCGGGUGAAGGAACUAGGCAAAAUGGUGCCGUAACUUCGGGAGAAGGCACGCUGAUAUGUAGGUGAAGCGACUUGCUCGUGGAGCUGAAAUCAGUCGAAGAUACCAGCUGGCUGCAACUGUUUAUUAAAAACACAGCACUGUGCAAACACGAAAGUGGACGUAUACGGUGUGACGCCUGCCCGGUGCCGGAAGGUUAAUUGAUGGGGUUAGCGGUAACGCGAAGCUCUUGAUCGAAGCCCCGGUAAACGGCGGCCGUAACUAUAACGGUCCUAAGGUAGCGAAAUUCCUUGUCGGGUAAGUUCCGACCUGCACGAAUGGCGUAAUGAUGGCCAGGCUGUCUCCACCCGAGACUCAGUGAAAUUGAACUCGCUGUGAAGAUGCAGUGUACCCGCGGCAAGACGGAAAGACCCCGUGAACCUUUACUAUAGCUUGACACUGAACAUUGAGCCUUGAUGUGUAGGAUAGGUGGGAGGCUUUGAAGUGUGGACGCCAGUCUGCAUGGAGCCGACCUUGAAAUACCACCCUUUAAUGUUUGAUGUUCUAACGUUGGCCCGUAAUCCGGGUUG